This is a non-coding RNA of Bubalus bubalis (water buffalo), 662 nucleotides long. NCBI's taxonomy places the organism in Eukaryota, Metazoa, Chordata, Mammalia, Artiodactyla, Bovidae. The record is from the annotation of a RefSeq genome assembly.
GUCCUUCAAGAAAGCUCCACCCGCUGCAUUUUCUUCUGGGUUUUGCAUCCAGAUUGAGAUUUCCUCCCUCAACCACAGGGAGGGAACCCGCCUUCUUUUGGCUCCAGGGGCACAGGUGCGGAGGAUGCAGUGCCUGGUUUGCGGUGUCCUGCAGCAGAUGUGGAAUUUUUUCCUUCUUUAUGUUUCCCUGACAGUGAGAGGCUCUGCAGGAAAAGGCGUUGAGCAGCCCACUGAGUUGAUGGCUAUAGAAGGAGCCUCUACCCAGGUCAACUGCACCUACCAGACAUCUGGUUUCAAUGGACUGUUCUGGUACCAGCAACACGAUGGUGGAGCACCUGUGUUUCUCUCUUACAAUGUUCUGGAUGGUUGGGAGACGAGAGGUCAUUUUUCUUCAUUCCUUAGACGCUCUGAUGCACAGGGUUACCUCCUUCUGAAGGAACUCCACAUGAAAGACUUUGCCUCUUACCUCUGUGCUGUGAUAGACACGGUGACUGUGAGGGCUUUCCAGCUGCUCCAAAACUCAGGCAACCACACCAGUACAACAAACCUCGAAUAGCCAAAGCAAUCUUGAGAAAGAAGAAUGGAAUCAACCUGCCUGACUUCAGGCUCUACUACAAAGCCACAGUCAUCAAGACAGUAUGGUACAAAGACAGAAAAUUAGA